GACGAACGCUGGCGGCGUGCUUAACACAUGCAAGUCGAACGGAAAGGCCCCUUUGGGGGUACUCGAGUGGCGAACGGGUGAGUAACACGUGAGUACCUGCCCUUGACUUCGGGAUAACUUCAGGAAACUGGGGCUAAUACCGGAUAGGAAUCCUUGCUGCAUGGUGGGGGUUGGAAAGCUUCGGCGGUUUUGGAUGGACUCGCGGCUUAUCAGCUUGUUGGUGGGGUAGUGGCUUACCAAGGCUUUGACGGGUAGCCGGCCUGAGAGGGCGACCGGCCACAUUGGGACUGAGAUACGGCCCAGACUCCUACGGGAGGCAGCAGUGGGGAAGAUUGCACAAUGGGCGGAAGCCUGAUGCAGCAACGCCGCGUGCGGGAUGACGGCCUUCGGGUUGUAAACCGCUUUCAGCAGGGGCGAAGCUUGUGGUGACGGUACCUGCAGAAGAAGCACCGGCUAACUACGUG
Molecule: ribosomal RNA, 464 nt
Filed under: uncultured bacterium
Lineage: Bacteria
Description: partial 16S ribosomal RNA
Rfam family: Bacterial small subunit ribosomal RNA
Source: RNAcentral